AAUAUCCACAAUUUUUAUCGUUACACAUUACGCUUCAAUACUUGAGAAAAGAAUAAACAUUUUAUCUGGAAUUGACUCGACGAGGAUACGCGCGUGUAAACAUUAUUCUUUAUUCAUCUCGAUAUAAACAUUGUUUGGUAUUCGAAAAACACGCGUACCGCGAGGCAGUGGGAAAAAAACACGGAGAGGCUCAACGCGAUUCCCCGAAUUGGCGGACGUGGGGUGGGAGGGAGAAGGGGAAACACGAGCGCGCGACGUCACGCGAGUGAAAACAACGUAGUUGAGUUUCGAGCGUUAUAUCGAGCGCGUGAAAUAUCGGGCGAUCGUUGAUUUCGUGGGAAGGUCAAGUCCCUCGCGAAUAAUAAGGUCGAUAUUCACUCGCCGGGGCGUGAGUCGCAGUUACCUCUGUCAAACCUUGGUACGUCGAUUCCUCGCACGUCCAUCCAUCUGUCAAUCGUUAAACAUCUGACAGUCGUUACACGAUAUUACGCGAAUAUCGCGAAUGAGAAUCACUGGCGGCUCUAUUUACGUUAGUCGUCGAAUAUGUGAACGAUAAUGCGCGAAUUUUGGAAACGCUGAGAAGAAAUGUCAAGCGAAAACGUGUACAACACAUCGCGAAUGCAAGUGAAUACAUAAUGUGAGUGGAAUAUAAUGACUGUAAAAUACAAGAAUAAAUCCGCCUAUAAUGGAUCGACUGGUCGUCGGGAGUGCCGAAUAAAUGUAUCGGGCGAUUAUUGUGGUUGUGCGAGUGCCGCGAAUAUAAUCGACGUUCGAUCGAAAUUAUGUUAGUAAAAUGAGUCGCGCGAAAAUAUGUGAUUUAUUUCGGAGUAAAUAAAUAUAUACGCAGAUCGCGAAAAAGUAUCGUGGCGUCGUCGAAUUUUAAGUAUCGUGAUAACGUGAGUGAUAGUGAUAACGUGAGUGAUAGUGAUUGAUACUCAUUGACUGUCAACAACUUUAGUUGCUUGUGUGAUGGAUUGAUCAUCGAAGCUUCGAGACAGGAAUGCAUCAGAUGAUGAGAAGAAAACAGAGAGACAGCAGGUACGAAAAUGGACGCCGAGGCAGCAUUGUUGGAAAAUUCGCCGACUUUGUCGACGAUCUCGUCGGAUUCCACGGACGCGACGUAUUCCGGACCCGGCUCGCCCUAUUCCCCGGAAUCACCGAUCAUUGUCACGUCCUCCUAUAAAAAAAAGCGUGACGAUGAAGUCACACCUAGACCAACGCCCAGACAUCUAUCCAGGAAGCCAAGCUUCCGGAUACGACCGCCCUACCUCAUGAUCUGCAUCAGUAUCAUCGAGAUAACCGUCCACUGCCUGGGAGACGAGGCGACGUUACGGAGAUGGCUGGUCUACGAUCCCCGUCAGAGGGUGCAGGGUUGGAGGUUCGCCUCCUACAUGCUACUGCACUCGAACGCACUUCACCUCGCACUCAACGUGGUCAUUCAGCUGGUCUUGGCCACUCCACUCGAGGUGGAACAAGGACGAAUAGGGGUAGCGACAAUCUAUUUGGGCGGUGGAGUUUGCGGCGCCCUGGGAGCGUCGCUUCUGCAACCCAGUCUUUACUUGGUCGGCGCUUCGGCAGGCGUUUAUGCACUGCUCACGAGUCAUCUUGCUCAUCUUUACCUGUGCCACGGCGAACUACGCUACGCGGGUUGGCGUCUCGGCGCCGUAUUGUUGUUGGCCGGCGCGGAUGUCGCGUCGCUGCCCAUCCCGGCGUUGCUCGGAUGCGGCCGGGUCGGCUGGGCGGCACACGUCGCGGGCGCGCUGGCGGGUCCACUUUUGGGUCUGGCCGUGUUCCCGAACCAGAGCAAGAAGGACGCCCGUGGGCGCAGAUUCGUGCGAUACGUGCGGCUGCUGUCGGCCGUGAGCGUGAUGCUGCUGAUCGUCGGCGCCGUCCUCGGCAACGUCUACCUAAUCGCCCUGCCGCAGCUCAGGAAGCCGUCCUGACAGAGGAUCGAGAUGCUCGUCAAGCUCUGCAGACGGUCCUUCCUGAUCGUCAAGAUCCGGGAGGCCGCCGAGAGUGUAUUCGAGUAGAGGAUCUUAAGGACCGGGAAAAAGAACGGAUAACGUGGGAACGAACUGAACGUCGAUCUGCCAGAUACUAUGGAGGUAAACGUCGCAACUUUUUUACGGACAGGUAAAACGUUUCAAACUGCCGAUUGUAACUUUUCGAUAGGAUCGAAUUGUAUAUGAUUAAUACUUAGCGAUACGAUAUGUAAUAAUUUCUCGUUAUGUCAAUCUCGCUAUUAUUGGCGACAAAAAAAAGAGACUAUGAAAGUGUGGCAUGCGUGUAUAAUAAAAAUAAGAGUAAUUAUAUAACACACAAUUUAAGAUGGCUGAAACGAUGCGUAUGGACGGUGGCAGGUGAGUUUGCCCUGCGAUGGGGACGAAUUAAAUUUUAUUAAUAGAAAGUGGAGAGCGAAUUUAUUUAAAUAAAAAUAGAGAAAUACAGGAUAUUGUUAUGGCUCGCGUGAGAAUAAGAAUCACGAUUCCGAGUAUAUUAAUGCUAGUACAUCGCUAACAAUGUUGGGAGAACAAGAUGGAAUACCUUCAUCCUUUCUAUUAUUCGUAUUAACGAUUUAGCGUGUAUGAGAUAUGUAAGAAGGUGUAUAAAAAAAAUAAAGCGAUCACACAAUAUAUUAUUAACGUAAACGUGUUAUGAUAUAACGAAGAUUUUAAUAAUGGCAAGAUAAAUGUAUCGAUCGUUAAUAAAGCAAAGUUUAACAACAUG
This 2727-nucleotide unclassified non-coding RNA is filed under the name Camponotus floridanus (Florida carpenter ant). RNAcentral's name for it is "protein rhomboid, transcript variant X3". The record is from RNAcentral. Lineage: Eukaryota; Metazoa; Arthropoda; Insecta; Hymenoptera; Formicidae.